UCCAUUUUAUGACCCGAGUAUUUAAAUGUUCUAAAACCCUAAAUCUAGAUCUGCAUCUCAUUCACCGCCGCUUCUCUUCUCUUUGUGACCAACACUCUUCAGUCAUUUCUUCGUAUCUCUCCCUUGAAAUUAAUCUACAUCAGUUAGGAUCACAUCUCCACUUCUUCUAGCAAAUGGAUAUCCAUAUUCGCAUAACGCUUCUUUUCUAAAACCCUAAAUUUUUCCUUCUGGUUUACUCAUCUCCAAUCCUGGAUACAAACCCUAAUAUCUACUAAGCCGUUUCAUCAGACCAUAUUGCUUCUUCAACAAUUGAUAUUCAUUUCAAUUCUUAAUCUAUUGUUUUCUUCGUUAAAUCGAUGGGUAAGUCCACCAAAAUGAAAUGCGAAGCCCUAGGUAUCAGCCACUGUGUUCCUCAUUCUUCUUCCUUAUGAUUCAACUCAAACCCUAGCUAUUAGCCACCGUGAUCCUCAUUCUUCUUCGUUGUUCUAUGAUUCAAAGUCUACAAUUGAUCGGACUGAAGUUUCAGGUACUGCUAUAUCUUUUGAGUUCUUUGGAGGUUGUUUCACUUUCAGGGAAGGACAAGAAGCUUUUUGUUGAGUAAUACAUGGCUCUUAAUGAUGAUGGGUGCAGUGGCAACUGCUGCUGAUUUCAUCAGGUAUCUUACUUAAAUAUAAAUCAGUUAAAUAAAAAAUGUGUGACAUUCUUAGCCGCUGAUACAAGUAGUGGAUGUAGAUAAGUUUGUUUUCCUGACCUUACUGAUGAUAAUAAUGUGAUGUUCGAUUGAAAUGUGGCUUAUAAUAAUAGCUCUGUCAUAUUCAGUUUCUUCAUUUUGAUAACGGGUUUGAUGAAGUCGAUUACAGGUAUGCAUGAAGACAUUUUUCUCGAGAUUAACUUCCUCAGAUUUGCAGUUUUUAUGUACAUCAUGCUUGAUGCUUGCAUACUUUUCUUAUUUAUGACACCGCACUCAUUAGAAAAUGUUAUGCAUGUAGGACCAAUAUUCAUAUCUCAGUUUGGUAUAAGUUACAUGGACUCACCACUUUAUGAAACCUUAGUUCUGUAGAUAAUUUAUAUCCAUUUAUCUUUCCAUUAUAUGAUUGAUAAUAGAGUGAAAAAAGGUCAAAUCUAUUUCUAAUAAAGGACUCAAAAGAUGCAUCAUCCGCCCCAGAUGCGUUUGAGUUGUUCAAUGAUCUAAAAGGAAAAGGUGCAUAUCAUACUAAAGCAUUAAAACAUUUUCUAUUUCAUAUCUUUUUUUAUCUUACAAUUAUUCUUUUCCCAUUUUAUUGUUAUUUCAGUGGGAUGUAUUUGAGAACAAGUCCACCGUCAUAGUCUAUUGUGGAGAGCAAUUGUUGCAAUUUGGCUAUCUUCAGUUCUUAUUGGUGAUAUCAGUUUUGUACCCUUUUGCGAAUGGCUGAUAUAUGCAACAUGGAGGUUGGUAGCUUAUUUUUCAU
Helianthus annuus (common sunflower) is the source of this 1448-nucleotide long non-coding RNA. RefSeq lists it as uncharacterized. The transcript has 4 exons. Lineage: Eukaryota; Viridiplantae; Streptophyta; Magnoliopsida; Asterales; Asteraceae. The record is from RefSeq and is a predicted model, not a curated record.